GACUCAGUGGUGUAGUGGAAACAUACUUGUGUACAAUCAAGGAAAAAGUUGCAUAUGUAUGUAAGGGAUCCCUGUUCAACUCAGGGUUGGGUCA
Mycena rebaudengoi is the source of this 94-nucleotide non-coding RNA. Lineage: Eukaryota; Fungi; Basidiomycota; Agaricomycetes; Agaricales; Mycenaceae. The record is from the annotation of a GenBank genome assembly.